UCACAAGUCACACAAUAUUCCAAUCAAAUACAGAUGGUUGAGAAAAGUCAUCCAUCUUCCCUCCCCACCCUCCCACAGCCCCUCAACCACUGCCCUGAAACUUAUAUGCUGUUAUCCGCAGCUCCAUCUGGAGCAUCACAGCUACUGUCAACCCUGACGCUCUUUCUGAAAAAACACCGGAUGGACAUCAGAACUAUUUCUUUAAGGAUGUUACUGAGCCACACAGGAAAACUUGCCUUAUGAUUUUGAAUGCACGGAUCUGAUUUGACUAAACAUGAUAACUAGAGAAUCACCCAAUCUACUCCCAUUUUCAACUCUAAAUCAUCAGAGUGUCUCAAAUCCAAAGCACACACAGACCAGCCUGGCCAACACGGUGAAACUCCACCCCUACUAAAAGUAUAAAAAUUAUCCAGGUGUGGUGGCGGGCGCCUGUAAUCCAAGCUACUUGGGAGUCUGGAGGCAGGAGAAUCCCUUGAACCUGGGAGAUGGAGGUUGCAGUGAGCAGAGAUCACACCACCGCACUCUAGCCUGGGCCACAAAUCAACAACAACAACAACAACAAAAAACAAAGCGCACACAGAGACUGAGGUCCUCUUUGGCAUUGAGAAGAUGGCUAUGCAAGUCCCAACUAGCAAGUGCAAACUUCCCAGCUUCACUUCUGCCAGUGUCCCUUCACCCCUUCUCAACCCCACUGGGAGGCAGGAGGGUGCUUGACAAUAACAGCCUUGGCAUCACUCUGCCAGGGUGUAAUAGGAACUGUUACAAUUCUGAGAUUCUGUAUGGGAGUGUCUAGUUGCAGGAAACAAGCUCAGGGCUUCCACUGAUUCUACAUUAUGGCUGUGGCUUGCCUUUUCACUUCUUGUGUCCUGUUUAAGAAAUAUCUGCUAUCCCAAGCAUCUGGCAUCUUUCUUGACAUAUGUAGCAGUUGCUUUUUGACAGCUUGCUUCUUCAGUGAAUGAAUAAAUUAAUAAAGAGAAAUGUGAUGUUCAGUGAUCCAUUUUGCAGAUAACACUAACAAAGUUGACCUUAGAAUUGGAGUGCCUGGGUUAGAACCCUGCUGGUACCACCUGCUUACUGCAUGCUUCUGAUGUGAGUUCAGGAGAAGACACUGGCAAGGACAGCAAAGAACAGGAGAACACUCUAGCUUCCCUGAUAGCAUUCAAGGUGCUGUCCAAAAGUUUCACUCUUAUUGCCCAGGCUGGAGUGGAAUGGCGCAAUCUUGGCUCACUGCAACCUCCGUCUUUCGGGCUAAGGCAGAAGAACGGCUUGAACCCGGGAGGUGGAGUUUGCAGUGGGCCAAGAUCGCGCCACUGCACUCCAGCCUGGGUGACAGAGUGAGAGUCUGUCUCAAAAAAAAAAAAAAAAAAAAAAAA
This 1373-nucleotide long non-coding RNA is filed under the name Homo sapiens (human). RNAcentral's name for it is "cancer susceptibility 19". Lineage: Eukaryota; Metazoa; Chordata; Mammalia; Primates; Hominidae. The record is from RNAcentral.